Molecule: long non-coding RNA, 2660 nt
Filed under: Homo sapiens (human)
Lineage: Eukaryota; Metazoa; Chordata; Mammalia; Primates; Hominidae
Description: HSALNT0259182
Source: RNAcentral
GGGUAAUCCCUUUGGCUGGGCUCAAGCCGGGCGCCAUCUUGCUCAUCGCGGGCGUGGCGCUGAACUACAUUUCCCAGAAGGCGCCGCGCCCUCGGCCCCUCCCCUCGCGACUCCCGCGGCUCGGGGGAGAGCUGCACGCGACCCAGGUGCUGGCCUCUGAGCGGGUCGGCUCGGAGACUACAGGAUCAGGAGGAGGUUGGAGGUGAAGCGUCUGGAAUCCGGUAAAGAUGGACACCUGCAUGAGGGAAGGAAUAUGUGAGCAGCUUCCAUUUCCCUUCCAUGGUCUUCUCAGCUUCCUCCAACAGUAGAUUGUUCAGCCUCCCUAAAGCAGGAGAAGAGGAAGGGGAAGAAAGGUGUUUUUCCGGGUUUCUAAGCAAAUACCUUGCUGCAGAUCUUCAACUGCAGGGGAGGGCAUGUUGCCAGAACAUCCUGUUUACAGAGGCCACUUAAAAUCCUUACGUUAACCCUAGGCAUACUGUGGUCAUCCUUUUCUGGUGGGUCACAUUGGCCCUCCAGAAGUUCUCUAGAACAGGAUCCAAGAUCUCCUGAGGUCAGCUCACUCCGUAUGGUCCAUAUCCUGUCACCACGUGGGAAUUAAGUUCCUAUCUCUGUUUCUCCUAAAUGGCAGGAAAAAAGGUAAAGUUCUCCUAAGAACUCUCUUAACACACUCCCCUUUGGAUCUUAGAGGGACUGGGAUGGAUCGGGUCAACUUGCUUGGUUUGAUUAGAGGAGGAAACACCCACCUCCUUUCCUCAGGGUGCUGAGAACACACCCACAGCUCUUCCCAAAAAUAGUCUCACCUCACAAAAAGUCCUCUUCCUCAGCCUCCCCAGCCUCUCACAUGUCCUUGAGGUAUGUUGAACUGUAGCAAAAAUUGUUUAUAGCCAGUUUCUUUUUUUUAAUUUUAAUUUUUUAAAAUAUGGUCAGCUGGGCGCAGUGGCUGCCUGUAACCCCAGCAAUUUGGGAGGGUGAGGCGUGCGAAUCACCUGAGGUCAGGAGUUCGAGACCAGCCUGACCAACAUGGAGAAACCCCAUCUCUACUAAAAAUACAAAAUUAACCAGGCAUGGUGGCACAUGCCUGUAAUCCCAGCUACUCAGGAGGCUGAGGCAGGAGAAUUGCUUGAACCCCGGAGGCAGCGGUUGCAGUGAGCUGAGAUCGUGCCAUUGCACUCCAGCCUGGAUGACAAGUCUCAAAAAAAAAAAAGAAAAGAAAAGAAAAAAAAAGAUAGGGUCUUGCUCUGUACUCCAGGCAACCUUGGCUCACUGCAGCCUCAACCUCCUGGACUCAAGUAGUCCUCCCACCUCAGCCUCCUGAGUAGCUGGGACUACAAGCACAUGUCACCACAUCUGGCUAAUUUUUAUAGUUUUUUCCUAGACGGCACCCGGCCUAGAAAGCAAUUUUAAACAAUGAGAAAUUUCAAGAAGGUGACUGGAUAUAAAAUAUGCCAAAAUAGUACACAUAAUGUAUAUGAUAUACAUAUAUAUAUGAAAACAACAAAUAGAAGAUUCAAUUGAGAAAGUUUUAAAAGACCCCAGCAAUGAUAGACAUAAAAAUAUGUUACUAAGGAAUAAAAUUAGCAAGAAUUGGUAUACCUUAUGAAGAGAACUUGAAUAUGGAGGGACUAAUCAGAAAACAAGUGAAAAAGCAUAGUAUAGGAUGCCUCAAACUCCUAAGGGUUUAAAACUUAAUUUGUAAUAAUUUAAUGUGAUCCCAAUCUGAUAAUUAUUUUAUUAAUAAAUUAAUAAUUGUUUUAUUAAAGACAAGUUAAUUCUGAAGUUCAUGUGGAAAAGUCAAUAUGGCAGAAUAGCCAGGAAAAUUCUGAAAAAGAGUAAUUCAGAACAUUUACUCUACCAUAUGUUUAAACAUAAAAUAAUAGCCUUGGCUGGGUGUGGUGGUUUAUACCUGUAAUCACUAAAAGCACUUCGAGAGGCUGAGGUAGAUGGAUCAUUUGAGCCCAGGAGUUUGAGACCAGCCUGGGCAACAUAAUGAAACACCAUCUCUACAAAAAAUACAGAAAUUAGCUGGGUAUGUUGACACAUGCAUAUAGUCUCAGCCAUCCUCCCAAAUGCUUUGGGAGGCUAAGGCGGGAGGAUGGCUUGAGCCUGGGAGGUCAAGACUGCAGUGAGCUGUGAUUGUACUACUGAAUUUCACCCUGGGUGACAGAGUGAGACCGUCUCAAAAUAAAAUAAAAUAAAAUAAAAUAAAAUAAAAUAAAAUAAAAGUCUUAAAAUAGCAUGGUUCUGACAGAUGAGCAGACGGAUCAGUGGAGUGGAAGAGAAACUCCAGACCCAGUAGGUAGUGCAGUAUUCUUCAUAUGGUAAAGACAGCAUUUCUAAUUAGGGGCACACAUAUGGAUUUAGUACUUCGUUUAUAAUAUACAACUGUAUAUUGUAACCAUUGUAGAGGGGAAGAAAAUAGGUCGUUAACAUUUCAUAUCUAUUAUUCCAAGUGGAUCAGAGAUUCAAAUGUGAAAUAUGAAAUCAUAAAAAUUCUCGAAAUAAUGUGGAAAAAAUGUUAGCCUCAGGACAUGGAAAUCAUUCUAAGUCUAACACAAAUCCUAGAACCCAUAAUUGAAAAUAAUAAUAAAUUUUUUUUUUUUUGAGACAGAGUGUCGCUCUGUUGCCCAGGCUGGAGUGCAGUGGUGCGAUCUCGGCUCACU